Molecule: non-coding RNA, 89 nt
Organism: Obba rivulosa
Lineage: Eukaryota; Fungi; Basidiomycota; Agaricomycetes; Polyporales; Gelatoporiaceae
Source: the annotation of a GenBank genome assembly
CCUUCGAUAGCUCAGUUGGAAGAGCGUGAGACUGUAAUUGGUUACCUAAGUGCAUCUCAAGGUCACUGGUUCGAUCCCGGUUCGAAGGA